RNAcentral lists this ribosomal RNA (457 nucleotides) under uncultured Bacillota bacterium. RNAcentral's name for it is "bacterial SSU rRNA". It matches the Rfam family "Bacterial small subunit ribosomal RNA", at positions 1 to 469 of the family's 1533-position model. Lineage: Bacteria; Bacillati; Bacillota. The record is from RNAcentral.
AGAGGUUUGGGAUCAUGGGCUCAGGACGAACGCUGGCGGCGUGCCUAAUACAUUCAAGUCGAGCGGACCUUUCGGGGUCAGCGGCGGACGGGUGAGUAACACGUGGGCAAUCUGGCCCAAUACUCUGGAAUAACGCUUGGAAACGAGUGCCAAUACCGGAUGGUCUUCUUGGUCGCAUGGCCGAGAAGGAAAAGACGCGUUCGCGUCGGUGUCGGAUGAGCCCGCGGCGCAUUAGCUAGUUGGUGAGGUAACGGCCCACCAAGGCGACGAUGCGUAGCCGACCUGAGAGGGUGACCGGCCACACUGGGACUGAGACACGGCCCAGACUCCUACGGGAGGCAGCAGUAGGGAAUCUUCCACAAUGGGCGAAAGCCUGAUGGAGCAACGCCGCGUGAGUGAUGAAGCCUUCGGUUGUAAACUCUGUCAUUCGGGACAACCGAAUCUGAGAAAUGCAAAC